Arachis ipaensis is the source of this 447-nucleotide non-coding RNA. NCBI's taxonomy places the organism in Eukaryota, Viridiplantae, Streptophyta, Magnoliopsida, Fabales, Fabaceae. The record is from RefSeq and is a predicted model, not a curated record.
GUGGAAGAAGGUGAUACAUGACUGCUGGUGGAGGACCUGUGGCUGCUGGUGGCGGAAGAGGACAUGUGACUACUAGUGAUGGGAGGUGAUGCGUUGUUGAUGGUGGCCGUCCAUACACUAGUUGACUCCAUAGUUGAUACCUUAGUUGGUUAGCUAGCGGGAUUGAUUUAAUAAGUCUAAUAUUCCAAUGAUGCAUGGCUUAUGUUAUGCUCAUUUUGGAUGGACCAGGACCACCUUCCAAAAUCUAAAUAAGUUACCCAAACACGGCACUUGAUAGAAGCCAAGAAAAAUGCACUACCAAAGACUCUUUAUGAAAUUGAUUCUUAUUCCAAAUUUCUAAUUUGAUAACUGGCAUGACCAAAAUUAAAUCCUCUUACUGACGUUCUAUAUACUGAUACAAAUUAUUCAAUAUUCAACAUGAUAAAUCUCCCCUGAAGUAGAAGACAA